Molecule: ribosomal RNA, 742 nt
Filed under: Nocardioides allogilvus
Lineage: Bacteria; Bacillati; Actinomycetota; Actinomycetes; Propionibacteriales; Nocardioidaceae
Description: bacterial SSU rRNA
Rfam family: Bacterial small subunit ribosomal RNA
Source: RNAcentral
GGCCACUUCGGUGGUACUCGAGCGGCGAACGGGUGAGUAACACGUGAGUAAUCUGCCCUCCACUUUGGGAUAGCCACCGGAAACGGUGAUUAAUACCGGAUAUGACCUCGCAUCGCAUGGUGUGUGGUGGAAAGUUUUUCGGUGGGGGAUGUGCUCGCGGCCUAUCAGCUUGAUGGUGGGGUAAUGGCCUACCAUGGCUUCGACGGGUAGCCGGCCUGAGAGGGUGACCGGCCACACUGGGACUGAGACACGGCCCAGACUCCUACGGGAGGCAGCAGUGGGGAAUAUUGGACAAUGGGCGGAAGCCUGAUCCAGCAACGCCGCGUGAGGGAUGACGGCCUUCGGGUUGUAAACCUCUUUCAGCACAGACGAAGCGAAAGUGACGGUAUGUGCAGAAGAAGCACCGGCCAACUACGUGCCAGCAGCCGCGGUAAUACGUAGGGUGCGAGCGUUGUCCGGAAUUAUUGGGCGUAAAGGGCUCGUAGGCGGUUUGUCGCGUCGGGAGUGAAAACACACAGCUUAACUGUGUGCUGGCUUCCGAUACGGGCAGACUAGAGGUAUGCAGGGGAGAACGGAAUUCCUGGUGUAGCGGUGAAAUGCGCAGAUAUCAGGAGGAACACCGGUGGCGAAGGCGGUUCUCUGGGCAUUACCUGACGCUGAGGAGCGAAAGUGUGGGGAGCGAACAGGAUUAGAUACCCUGGUAGUCCACACCGUAAACGUUGGGCGCUAGGUGUGGGGCCUA